AGCGAACGCUGGCGGCAGGCCUAAUACAUGCAAGUCGAGCGGCCCUUCGGGGCAGCGGCGGACGGGUGAGUAACGCGUGGGAACGUGCCCUUUGGUACGGAACAACUGAGGGAAACUUCAGCUAAUACCCGUAUGUGCCCUUCGGGGGAAAGAUUUAUCGCCAUUGGAGCGGCCCGCGUUGGAUUAGGUAGUUGGUGGGGUAAAGGCCCACCAAGCCGACGAUCCAUAGCUGGUCUGAGAGGAUGAUCAGCCACACUGGGACUGAGACAC
Molecule: ribosomal RNA, 270 nt
Filed under: uncultured bacterium
Lineage: Bacteria
Description: partial 16S ribosomal RNA
Rfam family: Bacterial small subunit ribosomal RNA
Source: RNAcentral